AUCGUCAGUGGCGGACGGGUGAGUAACGCGUAGGAACAUGUCCAGGGGUGGGGGAUAACGCUGGGAAACUGGCGCUAAUACCGCAUGUGAGCUGAGGCUCAAAGCCGCGAGGCGCCUUUGGAGUGGCCUGCGUCCGAUUAGCUUGUUGGUGGGGUAAUGGCUUACCAAGGCGACGAUCGGUAGCUGGUCUGAGAGGACGACCAGCCACACUGGGACUGAGACACGGCCCAGACUCCUACGGGAGGCAGCAGUGGGGAAUAUUGGACAAUGGGCGCAAGCCUGAUCCAGCAAUGCCGCGUGGGUGAAGAAGGUCUUCGGAUCGUAAAGCCCUUUCGACGGGGACGAUGAUGACGGUACCCGUAGAAGAAGCCCCGGCUAACUUCGUGCCAGCAGCCGCGGUAAUACGAAGGGGGCUAGCGUUGCUCGGAAUUACUGGGCGUAAAGGGCGCGUAGGCGGUCAUUUUAGUCAGGCGUGAAAUUCCCGGGCUUAACCUGGGGACUGCGCUUGAUACUGGGUGACUUGAGGGUGGAAGAGGGUCGUGGAAUUCCCAGUGUAGAGGUGAAAUUCGUAGAUAUUGGGAAGAACACCGGUGGCGAAGGCGGCGACCUGGUCCAUUACUGACGCUGAGGCGCGACAGCGUG
Molecule: ribosomal RNA, 642 nt
Filed under: uncultured bacterium
Lineage: Bacteria
Description: bacterial SSU rRNA
Rfam family: Bacterial small subunit ribosomal RNA
Source: RNAcentral